RNAcentral lists this long non-coding RNA (599 nucleotides) under Monodelphis domestica (gray short-tailed opossum). Its description in RNAcentral is "lncRNA (ENSMODG00000031019.2)". Lineage: Eukaryota; Metazoa; Chordata; Mammalia; Didelphimorphia; Didelphidae. The record is from RNAcentral.
ACUGGCUUUGUGGUGCCACCAUAUAUAGUGCUCUUCUCAUUGACCACCAAUGAAAGAGGUGCCCCUUCAGGAAGUGUGGUUGGGGCUGGAUACAUGGGCUCAGGGGGCCACAUUGACUCACGGGACAUAGUUUGGGGACCCCUGCCCUAGACUAAGAUCAGAAUCAGACUGUGAUUUCUGGAAGCUGAUGAUUCUGUCUCCUCUGCUACUGGCUUUCAGGACUUGGCAAAGUGAACUAUUUUUGGCCUGGCUAGGACUUCACUUCAGCACAGACUUGAAAGGGCCAAACCUAUGGACUUCUGAGCCUUGCUUCAGGCUGGUGCCAGGGCAUAUGACUUCAAGGAGGUGUCAACUUUUAUCAAAGACCUCUGAGGGUAUCAACUCUGAUCAUAGUAUUCACGAGUUUCUGACUGAGUAAAAAGGGUGGAGCUCUCCAAGAGCAUUCAGUUUGUGAUCAGUAAGGAAGGGUUUUCAGAGGUCUGAACUUUUGCUGCUUCUAUGCUGCCAUCUUGAUCAUAAGUCCCCAAGUAAGUGACUAUUAACAUCUUUACUUAGUGUUAAAUAAGGGUGUCUUUAAGUUUUUGCUUGAUUAACUCAAC